This 123-nucleotide transfer RNA is filed under the name Cladonia macilenta KoLRI003786. Its description in RNAcentral is "tRNA-Ala (TGC) (tRNA-Ala-TGC-1-1)". It matches the Rfam family "tRNA". From Rfam's summary of the family: Transfer RNA (tRNA) molecules are approximately 80 nucleotides in length. Lineage: Eukaryota; Fungi; Ascomycota; Lecanoromycetes; Lecanorales; Cladoniaceae. The record is from RNAcentral.
GGGGAUAUAGCUCAGUGGGUAAGUUACAAUUUCUGUAGAUGGAGAUACAGUUAUGCUAACCCUAUUUAGUAGAGCGCCUGCUUUGCAUGCAGGAGGUCUGGGGUUCGAUACCCCAUAUCUCCA